Long non-coding RNA from Hevea brasiliensis (rubber tree), 899 nucleotides. RefSeq lists it as uncharacterized. The record is from RefSeq and is a predicted model, not a curated record. NCBI's taxonomy places the organism in Eukaryota, Viridiplantae, Streptophyta, Magnoliopsida, Malpighiales, Euphorbiaceae. The transcript is spliced from 2 exons.
AUAUUGGUACUAGCCCUUGUAUAUGUGCUGGCAAGGCGGCAAAGAAAAAAGGAGAACAGUCCUUUCUCUACUCAACCUGAUUUGCUACGUAUAGCAACAUAUAGAAGGUUUUCAUACCAGGAACUCAUGCAGGCUACAAAUGGAUUAGACGAAAGUAACCUACUUUUGGAUAUGGAGGGAUGCUUGGUAUGGCUGUUGCAGUAAAGCUGUACCAAUGUUGACGUCAAAGCAUUGGUGAUGGAGUUCAUGCCCAAUGGAAACCUUGAGGCAUUGUUGCACUCUAAUUCCUAUUGCUUGGAUAUGCUACAGAGGUUAAACAGCUUGGUAGAUGUUGCACUUUCUUCGGAAUAUCUUCACUACAAUUUUGUUUUGAUUUUCAUGAUUUCUCUACAUUUUUUAUGUCAUAUGCAGAGUCUGGAUCACAGGGAAUAGUGUCUUAUGGAAUCAUGUUGAUGGAAACAUUUACAAGGAACAAGCCCACAGGAGAAAUGUGCUUGAAAGAUUGGGUAUUAGACUCAUUGCAGAGUGGUGAGAUGAUGGAUUCCAAACACAAAUGAGAGUGAUCUGGCAGCUAAUGUGUAUAAUCUGUCAUGAGUUUGGCUUGUGAAAUGAGGAUCAACAUUCUACACAGGCUGAAGAAAAUAGAGGACAAGUAUGAAAAGAACAUGCAAGCGACUUGCAAAUUACCAUAAAAUCUUUUCUUUUUCUCUACAAAAGUGGAAUUCUUUUUGCUUCUAUAAUGGUUAAGCUACUAUAUAGUCUCAACUUAUGCUUACGUAAAACAAUUUAUUCCUCUAAAUUCUGGAGUGUACGAACUAGUUUUAGGAAAAGUGGUGUCCUUUGUAGUGCUGUGCAUCAGCUUCAAUAUAUAAUUGAAAUGAAAAUUUUUAUGAACCAAA